UUCCUGGUGGCUAAGACCCUGCACUCCCAAUGCAGGGGGCCCAGGUUCAAUCCCUGGUCAGGGAA
This 65-nucleotide transfer RNA is filed under the name Bos taurus (domestic cattle). It matches the Rfam family "tRNA". Rfam says of the family: Transfer RNA (tRNA) molecules are approximately 80 nucleotides in length. Their secondary structure includes four short double-helical elements and three loops (D, anti-codon, and T loops). The record is from Rfam by way of RNAcentral. Lineage: Eukaryota; Metazoa; Chordata; Mammalia; Artiodactyla; Bovidae. RNAcentral also lists the same sequence under 5 other names.